Equus caballus (horse) is the source of this 4755-nucleotide non-coding RNA. The record is from RefSeq and is a predicted model, not a curated record. Lineage: Eukaryota; Metazoa; Chordata; Mammalia; Perissodactyla; Equidae.
CCUACCAUUUGACUUCUAGCAGGAAGUAUUUUUAAAGGGUAUUUUUCUCCCUUGCUGGCCAGUUCCUCAUUGAGAAACUCUCUUUUGUGACACUUGGACGUCUUAGCUCCCAAAGUGAUGAUGGGACUUUUUUUUUAAAUUUCCACUUCCAGGUUUGGAUUCACUUCUUCAUUCAUCUGGAAGAGCAGAAAGGAUUUCCAAAUGCUUACCAAACAUCUCCUCUGAGCACAGAAGGCUGGCCUUGUCCCAGACCCUGACUGUCACCUCUCGGAACCACAGGACGGGAUGUUUCCACCUCCUCUUCCUCUGCCCAUCCCCGACUCACGCACUCAGCGCAGUUUAUCAGCCCCUCCAUGUACCCCCAUACGUUAUGAAGCAACAUGAUAAAAUCUCCUGUUGGGUUUGGUAAGAAAUAGAAUGUAACCUGAUGUUGAAACCAUAGUGGGCUUCAGAGCUGAAUGGGCCCACGAUGAUGCUGGAAACUUCCUUACUCCCUGCCCUUCCUGGGGACCAAGAAAACAGAAACCAUGACCUGUUAUGGUGGCCCAUGGACAGAGUCCCUCAAGUCCCUUAUACUGCACAUUUACCCUAUCACCAAGCUGUUAGGCCCUCUGUGCUUCAGUCCUUUCGAUGACUACAGGGUAUAAGCUCCUGCUUACUCGGCUAGCCUCACCUCCUUUUCCUUUACUCAAUCUCCGUGCCAGACAACAUCAUCCUUCCUUUGCUUAUGCUGUUUCGUCUUCCUGGAAUGCCUUUCUCCCUCAGGCUUUCUCUGGCCAGCUCCUACUUAAGUUGGAAAACAGAGCUCAGACUCACCCUGAGCAUCAUUUCCUGAGCCCCAAGCUAUGCUGCACCCCUUUGGAGCCCCAUGCUUCCCUCCACCUCAAUCUUUACCACCUUGUGUUGAAAACAUCUGCUCUCUGGCCUACUUCCCACAGUAAACUCUGAGGUCUGGGAAGACCUUGUCUGGCUCCUCCCUGAUUCCUCGAGCCCAGCACAGGGCCUGACAUAUAAUGGGUGCUCCAGGGACCACUUUCUGGAAUCUGGCUCAAUAUGCUUCAUUCGCCCUCAUCCUCAUGUGAAUUGGCGCAGCCCCUGCACCAGAGAAACAGGAACUUGGAGAUAAGUACAAAGAGACCCAAUCCCCUCAGCCCACAGGCUCUCCCACCUUUUGUGGUGGGUUGUGAAACAGAGAGAGGGCAGCCUAGAGUGGGGCCCCAUAAGCUGUUAGGGGUGGGAGCCCCUGGGGCAAGACGGUUCCAGCAAGGAAGCAGGUGGCCCAUGUGCUGUAGGCUUCAUGGGUCCAAAACCAUCCAUCCCACCAGGAAUCCCAGCAGUAGAUCAACUUUCCUUUAGCUCUAAUCUCUCCCCUGAUUAGAAUGGAAAGCCCCAUGGUGUGGACGUCUAAGCUGUCUUUAUCUCUACAGCUUUCUUUAUAAUCACAAGUGAUAUACCAGAACCUGUGCCCAAGAUCUCAUUUAAUUUCAUAACAACUCCCCAGUUUAAAGAUGAGGAAACUAAGAAAAAUUAAGUUGCCCAAGAUCACACAUCUCAGAAACGGUAGAGCUGGAAUCCAAGCCCAGGUCUCUCUGGCCCCCUGGCCCUUUGACUUUGACCCAAAAGGUUAAAUGGUCUGCUUGAACAAGGGGUCAGUUCCCUGGACAGGAACCAGGAGACCCCCCCCCCCAUGUGACUGUGGCCUGGUCACAAUCAUUCUGACCCUUGAUUUUCUCAUCAUUUCCCUCUAAGCCCAAGUCUACACUUGACGCACGACACAUUUAGCAUCACUUUCCCUACAGAGCCUCUCCCAACUGUUCCAUGUCAUAGGCAAUGGAGAACUAAGCAGUCCGUCCUUUGUGCUCCCAUUGGCCCCUUGGUCCCAGCACCCAGGUAUCAGUUAGUUAUCACUGUGUAACAAACCACUCCCAAACUCAAUGGCUUCAAACCAGUAAUCAGAAAACAUUGUCUUGAAGAGCUAGAUAGUAAACAUUUUAGGCUUUGCAGAUCAGUCUCCUUUGCAACUGCUCAGCUCUGCCUUUGUAGCUCAAAAGAAACUAUAAACAAUACACAAAUAAACAGGUGUGCCUGUAUUCUAAUCAAACUUUAUUUACAAAAACAAGGAGCUGGCAGGCUCACAGGCCAUAGUUUGCCAAUCCCUGCUUUGAGCAAUAAGCAUUUAUCAUUACUCAUGAGUCUAUGAGUUGCCUGAACCAAUCUGCUCACCUGGGCCAGAAUCCACUGAUCUUGGCUGAGCUCACUUGGGCAUCUGUGGUCAACUGGCCAGAUGCCUAGUGGUUAGCUUGUCUAAGGUGCUUAUUUGCAAACUUAAGAGUUGGCCUGCUAUCAGCAAAGGUGACAGAUAACUGGGCCAUGUGUCUCUCUUCGUCAAGGAGGCUAGCCUGGGUUUAUUCUCCUAGAAGCUCUACAGGGUUCCUAGAAAUGGUGGAGGCACGCAAGGCCAAUUGAGUUCUAGGCUUAAAACUGGUCCACCAACACUGGCAUCACAUUUUGUUGACAAAGCACACCACAAGACCAGCCCAGAUCUAAGGCGUAGGGAAACAGCCUAGGUCUCUUGAUAGCAGGAGCUAGGAAGUAACAUCAAAAAGCAUAUGGAUGUAGCACAGGCCAAAGAAUUGUGGCCAUUUCCACAGUCAUUCCGCCAUAGCCAGUUGCACUUGUGUGUAUGUAUUUGUUACAUGUGUGCCUCCCUCUUUUUAGACUCUAAGCCCCUUAAAGAUGAGUUUCUAUGUCUUAUUCAUCUUUGUAUCUCAGUGCCUAUCACAGUUCCUAGAAGAGUCUGUUUCACCUGCCAAAGGGCCCUCAAAUCCAUUCAUCUCCAUCACCACCACCUCCCCCUUGGUCCAAGGUAUUGUCAGUUCUCACUUGGCCCACCGCCACAGCCUCCUGACUGCUGAGGGGUGGUUAAUAUUUUCUAGGCCUUGGGAACAAGUUCAUAUCCAUUGGAGCAGGAGAACAGGCAAUUGCAGAACACCGAGCACCUGGGAGGGGAGGUUGGCGGCUUCUGCUAAUACAGGAGACUAGGCAGGAAGAGAAGUCUGGGGACGCUGAUGCUCCGGUCAUGACUCUGGUCAGUGUUGGUCCCGGGGAAGCUCCUAACGAGACAGCCGGGGUCAAGAACGGCAGGAAAGUCCAAGACGUCUGGCGCAGGGAAUGAACGGUGGGUCAUCCCAAAGAACAACAAGACGGACAUGACAGCGCGCUGUGAGUUACCCAACAAUGCCCAAAAUCAGGGGGCUGCAGGAUGGGGCAACUCCAGGCGUGAAGAAUGUGGCCACGGAAAUGCCCAAGGCUUGCUCAGGGGGUAGCUCUUACAGAAUGGCUGUCCCCAUCCAGAGGUCACCUUGUUUAUGCAAUGAUCGACUCCUGCUGAAACCCGAGAGGCUGCCGUCUGCCCUCCGAGCAGGCCCAGACGCCGCUGUCCUAUUCGCUUCAUUGGCUUCAGAUCCCGUGAGUACAGAAUAAAAACGAAGACAACUGUGGAUACGGUAACAGAAAUCACUUCCAUGGCAGCCGCCACCGUUCACGAAGGCUGCUCAUCCUGCCAGUAUUUCCUGCGCUCCUGCCUCCUGGCCGCCCACCCAGGCCUGCUUCCAGCCACUCUCUCUUCCACACUGGAAGUCAUCUGACAGUUGCCACGUGGGAAUGCCAGCCCACUGUUCCCAGAUGUUCUGAUUUUCACCAGAAGCUGGACAUGCCAUUUGUGACAACAUGGAUGGACCUUGACGACAUUAUGCUGAGUGAAAUAAGUCAGACAGAGAAAGAAGACAAAUACUGAGUGAGUUCACUUAUAUGUGGAAUCCAAAAAAAACCAAGCUCAGAGAUACAAAGAACAGAUUGGUGAUUGCAAGGCAGGGGGUGGGGAGUGGGCGAAAUGGGUGGAGGGAGUCAAAAUGGAUUUACUGUAAAAAAUCUUGAAUUAAAAAAAGAUGGUAACUAUUUGAUCUGUUAAUCUUAUCAAACUCUAUAAAGUUAAACAAAGCAGGUCUUCAAGCCAAGGCUAGCCCAGUGGCUGCCAUUUUGGUGUCUACAGGCCAGAUAACCUCUCAGGGCCUCUCAGUCCUGAAGGGCGGUCCUGAAGGAGCCUCCAAGACACUGCCCCUCCACCCCUGAUGCCCCCUUUGCCUGUUUCUGAGAAAACAGAUCUUUCAGGUCCCCUUUUCGGUUCCUUCCCCCACGUGCGUCACUAACCUAUGAGGCCUCAGAGGGUGCCCCGUGGAGGGCUGGGCCUCCUGGAACCCUAGAGAAAGGCGUCUUGGCAAGUUCUCCUUGCAUUUCCAGGAGCCUCUGCGCCUCUCAGUUCCCAGUUCCAGUGUGUGACGGUUGAUUUCCUACGCUGACCUCACUCCCCACUGCGCCAGGCAGAGAGGGUUAAUGAAAUAAUCAUUUCAGCCACAACGUGGGAGAGCAGGUGCGAAAACCAAGGCUGAGCUGACAGCCAGAGUGUGUUAAGAGCCGUCCACAUGCACGGCAUUGUUCAGAGCAUGGCGUAGGACCUACUUAAUUUUUGUGGCUGCCCUAUAAGGUAGGUCCUCUUAUCAUUAUCAUUCUGCAGAUGAGAACACUGAGGUUCCAGGAGGUUAAGUAACCUGCCCAGGGUCACCCAACUAGUAAGUAGCACUGCUGGGACUCAGAUGGUCUGGCUCGAGAGCCCCAGGCUUGUAAAUUGUAUCCCCUCUAAGCCUGAGACGCAUUGUCAACCUCAUCCUAACCCUCCAUGGCCUCCCCAACUCAGGU